GACAGAGGUGGCAAGCGUUGUUCGGAUUCAUUGGGUGUAAAGGGUCCGUAGGUGGCCCGGUAAGUCCGGCGUGAAAUCCCAGAGCUCAACUCUGGAACUGCGUUGGAAACUAUCGGGCUUGAGUGCCGGAGAGGUAAGGGGAAUUCCAGGUGUAAGGGUGAAAGCUGUAGAUAUCUGGAGGAACACCAGUGGCGAAGGCGCCUUACUGGCCGGUUACUGACACUGAGGGACGAAAGCAAGGGGAGCAAACAGG
Molecule: ribosomal RNA, 253 nt
Filed under: uncultured bacterium
Lineage: Bacteria
Description: partial 16S ribosomal RNA
Rfam family: Bacterial small subunit ribosomal RNA
Source: RNAcentral